This is a small nuclear RNA of Phodopus roborovskii (desert hamster), 106 nucleotides long. The record is from RefSeq and is a predicted model, not a curated record. NCBI's taxonomy places the organism in Eukaryota, Metazoa, Chordata, Mammalia, Rodentia, Cricetidae.
GUGCUAACUUCCACAGCACAUAUACUAAUAUUGGAACAAUCCAUAGCAGAUUAGCAUGGCCUUUAUGUAAGGAUGACAGCAAAUUUGUGAAGCAAUUCAAAUUUUG